RNAcentral lists this transfer RNA (75 nucleotides) under Actinomycetota bacterium. RNAcentral describes it as "tRNA-Asp". It matches the Rfam family "tRNA". From Rfam's summary of the family: Transfer RNA (tRNA) molecules are approximately 80 nucleotides in length. Lineage: Bacteria; Bacillati; Actinomycetota. The record is from RNAcentral.
GGUCCCGUAGCGCAGUCUGGUUAGCGCGCCGCCCUGUCAAGGCGGAGGCCGCGGGUUCAAAUCCCGUCGGGACCG